AUCGCUUCUUGGCCUUUUGGCUAAGGUCAAGUGUAGUAUCUCUUCUUAUCAGUUUAAUAUCUGAAACGUCCUCUCUCCAGGGACAAUAUAUUAAAUGGAUUUUGGAGCAGGGAGUUGGAAUAGGAGAUUGCUCUGUCCGCUCCACGCAUCGACUUGGUAUUGCAGUACCUCCGGAACGGUGCAGUGAAA
Molossus molossus (Pallas's mastiff bat) is the source of this 189-nucleotide small nuclear RNA. RefSeq annotates it as U2 spliceosomal RNA. NCBI's taxonomy places the organism in Eukaryota, Metazoa, Chordata, Mammalia, Chiroptera, Molossidae. The record is from RefSeq and is a predicted model, not a curated record. The transcript has a single exon.